GGGGGCGCAAUGGUUUCGACGGGGAUAGGAUGGUAUGAGUAAGCGAGCUGUGGUCCGGGGCCACAUUAAAACUCGGAAGACAGAUAACUGUCAACAAUAAACAAUUAAUCGCAGCUUAAUAUAAGCAGCCGUUCUUUUUAACUCACCGCUGACGGAGCUAAAAAGAGCGUCAUUAAAGUCAGCUACCCACCGGGCUUUGCCUUAAGUUCGAUUGGGGAAACCCAAAGGCUAGUGUUGAACCGAUUUGGCAAUUGAAAGCGGUUCAAGGCGACAGCUUAAAGCAAUUGCUUCGCUCGAAGAAAGCUCAUAUGGUUCAUUUUCGGACAGGAGUUCGAUUCUCCUCGCCUCCACCA
Molecule: transfer-messenger RNA, 353 nt
Filed under: Thermoproteota archaeon
Lineage: Archaea; Thermoproteati; Thermoproteota
Also listed under: 1 other name
Description: Crenarchaeota archaeon (anaerobic digester metagenome) transfer-messenger RNA
Rfam family: transfer-messenger RNA
About the family: Bacterial tmRNA, also known as 10Sa RNA or SsrA, is named for its dual tRNA and mRNA-like properties.
Source: RNAcentral